GUAGUGAAAGCGUUCGGCUCAACCGGAUAUCCAUACCAAAAACUGCAAAGCUAGAGGACAAGAGAGGUCACUGGAAUUCCUAGUGUAGGAGUGAAAUCCGUAGAUAUUAGGAGGAACACCGAUGGCGUAGGCAGGUGACUGGCUUGUUCCUGACACUAAGGCACGAAAGCGUGGGUAGCAAACGGGAUUAGAUACCCCGGUAGUCCACGCCGUAAACGAUGGAUGCUAGCUGUUAUAGGUAUCGACCCCUGUAGUAGCGAAGCUAACGCGUUAAGCAUCCCGCCUGUGGAGUACGGUCGCAAGACUAAAACAUAAAGGAAUUGACGGGGACCCGCACAAGCGGUGGAGCGUGUUGUUUAAUUCGAUGGUAAACGAAGAACCUUACCCAGACUUGACAUCCUUGGAAUCACUACGAAAGUAGAGAGUGCUUUAUUGAGCCAAGUGACAGGUGUUGCAUGGCCGUCGUCAGCUCGUGUCGUGAGAUGUUUGGUUAAGUCCAUCAACGAGCGCAACCCUUGUGAUUAGUUGAAUUUUUCUAAUCAGACUGCCCUGGCAACAGGGAGGAAGGAGGGGAUGAUGUCAGGUCAGUAUUACCCUUACGUCUGGGGCUACAAACACGCUACAAUGGCCGGUACAAAGGGCAGCCAAGUCGCAAGACGGAGCAAAUCCCAUCAAAGCCGGUCUCAGUUCGGAUAGCAGGCUGAAACUCGCCUGCUUGAAGUCGGAAUCGCUAGUAACGGUAGGUCAGCUAUACUACCGUGAAUACGUUCCCGGGUCUUGUACACACCGCCCGUCAAACCAUGAAAGUCGCCAAUACCUGACGUGUGAGCUUCGCCUCGCCCUAAGGUAGGGGAGAUGAUUGGGGUUAAGUCGUAACAAGGUAACCA
This 887-nucleotide ribosomal RNA is filed under the name uncultured bacterium. RNAcentral's name for it is "bacterial SSU rRNA". It matches the Rfam family "Bacterial small subunit ribosomal RNA", at positions 591 to 1502 of the family's 1533-position model. The record is from RNAcentral.